CCUACGGGGGGCAGCAGUAGGGAAUUUUGCGCAAUGGGGGAAACCCUGAUGCAGCAACGCCGCGUGAUUGAUGAAGCCUUUCGGGGUGUAAAGCUCUGUCAGUGGGGACGAAACUUUACGGUACUCACAGAGGAACCCUCGCCUAACUCGGUGCCAGCAGCCGCGGUAAUACGGGGGGUGCAAGCGUUGCCCGGAAUAAUUGGGCGUAAAGAGUUUGUAGGUGGCACGUGAAGUCGGGUGUUAAAUGCAGAGGCUUAACCUCGGUACGGCAAUGGAGACUGGCGGGCUUGAUUGCGGUAGAGGUAAGGGGAAUUCCUGGUGUAGCGGUGAAAUGCGUAGAUAUCAGGAGGAACAUCGGUGGCGGAAGCGCUUUACUGGGCCGUAAUUGACGCUGAGGAUCGAAAGCCAGGGGAGCAAAUGGGAUUAGAUACCCGAGUAGUC
This 441-nucleotide ribosomal RNA is filed under the name uncultured bacterium. RNAcentral's name for it is "partial 16S ribosomal RNA". It matches the Rfam family "Bacterial small subunit ribosomal RNA", at positions 338 to 795 of the family's 1533-position model. The record is from RNAcentral.